This 279-nucleotide ribosomal RNA is filed under the name uncultured bacterium. RNAcentral describes it as "partial 16S ribosomal RNA". It matches the Rfam family "Bacterial small subunit ribosomal RNA", at positions 506 to 784 of the family's 1533-position model. The record is from RNAcentral.
UGCCAGCAGCCGCGGUAAUACGGAGGGUGCGAGCGUUAAUCGGAAUUACUGGGCGUAAAGGGCGCGCAGGCGGUCUUGUCCGUCAGGUGUGAAAGCUCGGGGCUCAACCCUGGAAGUGCACUUGAAACAGCAAGACUUGAAUACGGUAGAGGAGAGAGGAAUUCCUGGUGUAGAGGUGAAAUUCGUAGAUAUCAGGAGGAAUACCGAUGGCGAAGGCAUCUCUCUGGGCCGAUAUUGACGCUGAGGUACGAAAGUGUGGGGAGCAAACAGGAUUAGAUA